AGUAACGCGUGAGGAACCUGCCUUCCAGAGGGGGACAACAGUUGGAAACGACUGCUAAUACCGCAUGAUGCGUUGGAGCCGCAUGACUCCGACGUCAAAGAUUUAUCGCUGGAAGAUGGCCUCGCGUCUGAUUAGCUAGUUGGUGAGGUAACGGCCCACCAAGGCGACGAUCAGUAGCCGGACUGAGAGGUUGGCCGGCCACAUUGGGUCUGAGAUACGGCCCAGACUCCUACGGAAGGCAGCAG
Molecule: ribosomal RNA, 245 nt
Filed under: uncultured bacterium
Lineage: Bacteria
Description: partial 16S ribosomal RNA
Rfam family: Bacterial small subunit ribosomal RNA
Source: RNAcentral